UACGUAGGUGGCAAGCGUUGUCCGGAUUUAUUGGGUUUAAAGGGUGCGUAGGCGGCUUUGUAAGUCAGUGGUGAAAUAUGGCAGCUCAACUGUCAAGGUGCCAUUGAUACUGCGGAGCUUGAGUACAGAUGAGGUAGGCGGAAUUGACGGUGUAGCGGUGAAAUGCUUAGAUAUCGUCAAGAGCACCUAUAGCGAAGGCAGCUUACUAGGCUGUAACUGACGCUGAGGCACGAAAGUGUGGGGAUCAAACAGG
RNAcentral lists this ribosomal RNA (253 nucleotides) under uncultured bacterium. RNAcentral describes it as "partial 16S ribosomal RNA". It matches the Rfam family "Bacterial small subunit ribosomal RNA", at positions 524 to 776 of the family's 1533-position model. The record is from RNAcentral.